RNAcentral lists this ribosomal RNA (465 nucleotides) under uncultured bacterium. Its description in RNAcentral is "bacterial SSU rRNA". It matches the Rfam family "Bacterial small subunit ribosomal RNA", at positions 338 to 795 of the family's 1533-position model. The record is from RNAcentral.
CCUACGGGUGGCUGCAGUAGGGAAUCUUCCGCAAUGGACGAAAGUCUGACGGAGCAACGCCGCGUGAGCGAAGAAGGUCUUCGGAUCGUAAAGCUCUGUUGUUAGGGAAGAACAAGUACGGGAGGAAAUGACCGUACCUUGACGGUACCUGACGAGGAAGCCACGGCUAACUACGUGCCAGCAGCCGAGGUAAGCCGUAGGUUGCAAGCGUUGUCCGGAAUUAUUGUGCGUAACGGGGGCGCAGGCGGCCUGUUAAGGCUGAGGUGACGUCUUGCGGCUAAAACGCAAGCGGUCAUUGGAAACUGGGAGCCUUGAGUGCAGAAGAGGAAAGGGGAAUUCAACGUGUAGCGGUGAAAUGAGUAGAGAUGUGGAGGAACAGCAGUGGCGAAGGCGGCUUUCGGGGCUGUAACUGACGGUGGGGCGCGAAAGCGUGGGGAGCAAACAGGAUUAGAUACCCGUGUAGUC